AACUUAUACAGCGUCUUUGGGAUCACCAUCUGCAGGGACAACAGAAGAUGCACUGCCUCAGGGUCCUGCUGAGAAAAUGAUCACUGAGCACAAAGUGAAAAUCACAAAUUGCCUGAUGGCAGAUCGUAGCCACAUCCUUCAGCAUAUGCAACAAGAAGAAGUCAUCACCAAGAGAAAAUAUAAUAAACUAAUGGAAAUAUCACAGUCAGAAGAAAGUAUUAUCGACCUGAUCGAUCACAUGCUUGAUAACGGUGAAAAGUCCUGCUCUCAGUUUCUUGAGGUUCUCAGAAAGCCUGAUGUUCUCAAAACCUUCCCAAUGCUAAUAGAAAUUACAAAGAAUUGGCCAUGAGCAACA
Long non-coding RNA from Scomber japonicus (chub mackerel), 355 nucleotides. RefSeq lists it as uncharacterized. The record is from RefSeq and is a predicted model, not a curated record. NCBI's taxonomy places the organism in Eukaryota, Metazoa, Chordata, Actinopteri, Scombriformes, Scombridae. The transcript has 3 exons.